Molecule: long non-coding RNA, 3834 nt
Organism: Lagopus leucura (white-tailed ptarmigan)
Lineage: Eukaryota; Metazoa; Chordata; Aves; Galliformes; Phasianidae
Exons: 26
Source: RefSeq, a predicted model, not a curated record
CGGAGCGGCUCGGUGCUGCCUACAGCCUCGGCCGGGCCCGCGGCUCCUCCCCGGCGUUCGGGAAGAUGGCCCCGCCCGGCCAGGAAGUUGCCUUCUGAACUAUGUAACUUCUCAACCCAAACUGGCUCCUUUUGUCACACAAGCUCUUGUUCAAGCCAUUGCUAAAGUUACCAAAUUAGGAAGGUUUGACAUACUGAAAGACCAGCUUGUCUUCAAGACAUCAUUGCUGAUGUGGAAGGAUUCUUGCAGGACACUGUGGACCAUUGUAUCAUAGGAGUAAUGAUUCUCUUAGAACUGACUAAGGAAAUAAAUCUAGCUGAUUACUCAAGACCUUCAGCAAAACAUCAUAAAUAGCAACCCCAUUCUUGGCACCUCUUUAAAGGACAUACUGGUGCUUGCGUGCUCUCUUUUAAAAGAGCUUUCCAUAGCAGCGGAAGUGGCGCCAUGAGGAACCAUUCUACUUGAGCUCAAUCAACUCAGUGCUUUGGAGAGGAGCUCGUUGUUGAAGUGUUACCUGGCUCCAGUUCUUUAACUCCUUUGGGAGUGCUGAUUUGUUCACUCCACUUGAAGGUGAGACUUGGAAUUCAAGCAAACGGCAGACGAUUACGAUGCAAAGUUGUUGCAUUUCUUGUACAGUUUUUCAAACAAAAUGUGUCCAUACAGCAUUAAGGAACCACGUCAGUGACUGGUGAAUUUGAGGUUGGACAAUCGUAGGCAUUGAACUGAAAGAUCACCAAUUGCUGACAUAAUCCUUUCCCAUAUGAUGUAUAUGGUAGAUGCUCCACGCUGGUCUGGAGUAACCACAACGCAUGAAACCUUACAGUUUGAUUUUUGCAAUGAGCAUUAACAGUAUUUUAGCAGGCUUUAUCGCUGACGUGCCCUGUCUUAUCUAUGUUUUAUGCAGGUCACCUGACAAGGUGUUUCCUUGGCCAAACCUUUAACCCUUUGCGAUCGACGGCAACGAAGUCUAGCAGUGCAUCUAGACGGGAUGCCCCGUCCUUGGACGUGUUUAAGGCCAGCUAAUGAAUCUGCAGAUGACCUAUGCACUGUGCAGAUUCCAGGAAGCUGGAGAAGAAGUAAGAAAGAAUCGCAUUGCUAGUAUUUUCAGUUUGCUUCUACAAGGAGAUCUUUAUUCAGCAAUCCAGAACGUGCCAGGUAUCUUGGUAAUCUAACCAUAGGAGCGAAACAAAUACUUGAAAAUCCGCAGGGUUUAUCUGAUCCCUUGAAUUCUGUCGGUUCUUGGCUCAGCUGAUGACAAACCAUCAACUAGGAGAGUUAGUGACAGAUUACCCAGAAGUUUUCCAGCUCAUAGCAAACUGUACCGUUACUGGCCUACAGCAGUGGAAGAUAACACCCAGCAGUAGGGUGCUGCUCCUGUAGGCCAGAGUGUCAGUGGGUAGCACACUGCAGUAACUGUGAGCGUGGUCCGUGGUGUGUUCCAUAACAUCUCAAUUCUGACAGGGUCCUUCAGUAUUUAGAUGUAUGUUUUGGUUUCUUACAGCACUGGGAGUUUGCUCCAAAUAGCGUUUGUUAUUUGGUAACUCUGUGGCAAAGAAUGGUGGCAUCUGUACCUUUUGUGAAAACAGCAGAACCCUGCCUCUUAGAUACCUGUGCACCUGAGACAACAAAAGCUUAUAUUACUUCCAGACUGGAGUGUGUUCCUGCAGUAGUAAGAGAUGGCCUGGAAGAUUCACUGGAUGAUACAGCUACAGUUUUCCAACAAGUGGAGCAACUAUGCGGUUAGCAGGUGUGGAUGUGAAAAGAUCUCUACACUUCUUGGACAGUUGUUUGACCAAAAUGCCCAAAACUACCGAAAACUCUUGCACUCCUCUAGUAGGAAUCCAUUAGAAGUCACAGUCCAGGAAGGACAUCUGGCACGGCCUGUCUACUUUGUGGAUACUUUCGUGGGGGGAAGAUUGAUGUACACUAGCUCUGUUAAACAUGAUGCUCUGGAUGGAGAAUUACCCUGUCAGCUGUUUCAACAGGUGCCUUUGGAUGCCCAGGUACCACAGGCUGGUAAUGAAAAAGUAGAACUGGCAAUUUUGUGGUUCUUGGAUCGGUUUCACAAACGUGUGUGGGGGAGCAGCCUCAGCACACCUCAGAGGUAACGUGUGCUCUGAAGAGUGACGUGAAAAUGGAGCAGGCCUGUGGAGAAAUGGACCUGACAGCACACCUGGAGCCACUUAAGAGAAACCAGAAGGCAGCACUUGUAUGAUGAUUCUUCUGUUCUAUCCUGCUGUAGCAGCAAGUGUAGCAGCAGAUGGCAUUCUACCCUCACAGUUGUAAAUCCCAUGGUGCAGUGUGCUGCUGGCAGAAUGUGUAAUGGAAAUUUUGCACGCUUCAGCCAUGUUGAAGUAAUCUCCAGGAGUAUUUCACCAUUUAAUCAUACACUUGCAUGCAGAAAAUGGUUACAGAAGGCAGAGUAGUUGAACAAAAUUGUGGAGCACAUUGUCUGUUGUAGGUGGAAAUAUUCGUAUCAGCACUCUCUGUGUGUUUCUCAGCAAGGAGCACGUGGCACGUGCAAUACCUGUGGGGCUUGAUGCAACUGAGUAUCAGGAAUAUCUUUGAGCAUGAGAAAGUGGCAGAGAAGGCUGCCUGCAAAUCCCAGAGUGAUUCAAAUAUGUUGGCAUUCAAACGAUGAAGAAAUUUGUAGAACUGAGCGGUAUUUGAAAUACGAGGAACAACUGUUUGGAAAAGAAACUCAAUUUCAGAAAAGUUCGUGGAGCUCAAGAUCCUUGAAUUUUGUCAAGUGAAGGAGAAAACCACUUUCUUUUCCUCAGAAAUGGGACCAGAAAGUUAAAUCCCACUGUUUUCCAAGCUACUUUACAUUGCUUUAUAUUGGGAUUAUCCAGUCACGUGAAGGAUGGCUCUUUAGCAGGUGUAUUCCCGCAUGUCAGAAGUCUGAGGAAUAACAGAUGACAGCCAUGUUCUGGAAACAUUUAUGACAAAGAUUGUUACAAACCUUAAAUACUGAGGAAGAUGUGAGCCUGUGAUUUCAAGAACUCUCCAGUUUCUAAAUGACCUUUCUGUUGAAUAUCCUUUUUUGGUGUAUGACUUUAUUUGCAUAUAAUAAGAUGUAGAGUUACUGUUUUUUUUGAAGGCAUGCUUAUUUUCACCUACUUACCAACAAAACAACAAAAAAAAAUACAACUAGUUGCUUAUGGCCAUCUAUCCCAUUCCUCAUCCUAAUGUUAAUGCCAUUGAUGAGUUCAGCUGUAUAGAGAGCAGGGUUGAUUCUGUAAGCAGUUGGGAACAGGACUGGUUCUGCUUUGAGGAUGUGUGAACGAAGAACUCUAAUCGUAUAAGAAGAAUUCUAAUAUGUUUUUGUCGGUAGAAGGAUGACAUUCCAAACUUCCUAACUCUUGCAAGACCAUUUUCAGAUGCUCGGUCCCCAGUGCAUCAUCACCAUGUAAAGCAGCGCUGCCUCCAUGAAUACGCAUCUUAAGCCUCAUUGGAAACGUUUAAGGACGAGGAAAAUAGAAAUUAACCAAAAUGCAAAUGCCAAAAGCAGAUACAAUUAUUUUUCAGUGGAAAUACUUGUAGCAGGAGUUCCGAGAGCAGCAGCUGUUCUGCUUAGCUGGGUGGGGUUGUACAAAGACAGCUUUAAUGCCGGUUCGCUUCAGCGUGAUGUUGUAUUAGUUAAGGUUAAAAUUGUGUUCCCUGGCAAACCAUAAAAGAUUUCGAAAGUAUUAGACACCCACUUUUGUGCUGGAAUUUAAUAUGCAACUUUUUAUUGGAAAAUAAUCGUCCUUGUCUGGCAAAAUCCACCAUGCAAUAUUUCUGUUAGUAGGCAUAAUGCAAUAAAGACAGGGAGGGCUAUUUAUCACUACAAAU